This 672-nucleotide ribosomal RNA is filed under the name uncultured Bacilli bacterium. RNAcentral's name for it is "bacterial SSU rRNA". It matches the Rfam family "Bacterial small subunit ribosomal RNA", at positions 68 to 726 of the family's 1533-position model. Lineage: Bacteria; Bacillati; Bacillota; Bacilli. The record is from RNAcentral.
GAAGAGAGGAGCUUGCUCUUCUUGGAUGAGUUGCGAACGGGUGAGUAACGCGUAGGUAACCUGCCUUGUAGCGGGGGAUAACUAUUGGAAACGAUAGCUAAUACCGCAUAACAAUGGGUGACACAUGUCAUUUAUUUGAAAGGGGCAAUUGCUCCACUACAAGAUGGACCUGCGUUGUAUUAGCUAGUAGGUGAGGUAACGGCUCACCUAGGCGACGAUACAUAGCCGACCUGAGAGGGUGAUCGGCCACACUGGGACUGAGACACGGCCCAGACUCCUACGGGAGGCAGCAGUAGGGAAUCUUCGGCAAUGGGGGCAACCCUGACCGAGCAACGCCGCGUGAGUGAAGAAGGUUUUCGGAUCGUAAAGCUCUGUUGUAAGUCAAGAACGAGUGUGAGAGUGGAAAGUUCACACUGUGACGGUAGCUUACCAGAAAGGGACGGCUAACUACGUGCCAGCAGCCGCGGUAAUACGUAGGUCCCGAGCGUUGUCCGGAUUUAUUGGGCGUAAAGCGAGCGCAGGCGGUUUGAUAAGUCUGAAGUUAAAGGCUGUGGCUCAACCAUAGUUCGCUUUGGAAACUGUCAAACUUGAGUGCAGAAGGGGAGAGUGGAAUUCCAUGUGUAGCGGUGAAAUGCGUAGAUAUAUGGAGGAACACCGGUGGCGAAAGCGGCU